RNAcentral lists this ribosomal RNA (512 nucleotides) under Bifidobacterium adolescentis. RNAcentral's name for it is "partial 16S ribosomal RNA". It matches the Rfam family "Bacterial small subunit ribosomal RNA", at positions 165 to 688 of the family's 1533-position model. Lineage: Bacteria; Bacillati; Actinomycetota; Actinomycetes; Bifidobacteriales; Bifidobacteriaceae. The record is from RNAcentral.
AAUGCCGGAUGCUCCAGUUGACCGCAUGGUCCUCUGGGAAAGCUUUUGCGGUAUGGGAUGGGGUCGCGUCCUAUCAGCUUGAUGGCGGGGUAACGGCCCACCAUGGCUUCGACGGGUAGCCGGCCUGAGAGGGCGACCGGCCACAUUGGGACUGAGAUACGGCCCAGACUCCUACGGGAGGCAGCAGUGGGGAAUAUUGCACAAUGGGCGCAAGCCUGAUGCAGCGACGCCGCGUGCGGGAUGACGGCCUUCGGGUUGUAAACCGCUUUUGACUGGGAGCAAGCCCUUCGGGGUGAGUGUACCUUUCGAAUAAGCACCGGCUAACUACGUGCCAGCAGCCGCGGUAAUACGUAGGGUGCAAGCGUUAUCCGGAAUUAUUGGGCGUAAAGGGCUCGUAGGCGGUUCGUCGCGUCCGGUGUGAAAGUCCAUCGCUUAACGGUGGAUCCGCGCCGGGUACGGGCGGGCUUGAGUGCGGUAGGGGAGACUGGAAUUCCCGGUGUAACGGUGGAAUG